This 353-nucleotide ribosomal RNA is filed under the name Shigella flexneri. Its description in RNAcentral is "bacterial SSU rRNA". It matches the Rfam family "Bacterial small subunit ribosomal RNA", at positions 812 to 1165 of the family's 1533-position model. Lineage: Bacteria; Pseudomonadati; Pseudomonadota; Gammaproteobacteria; Enterobacterales; Enterobacteriaceae. The record is from RNAcentral.
UCGACUUGGAGGUUGUGCCCUUGAGGUGUGGCUUCCGGAGCUAACGCGUUAAGUCGACCGCCUGGGGAGUACGGCCGCAAGGUUAAAACUCAAAUGAAUUGACGGGGGCCCGCACAAGCGGUGGAGCAUGUGGUUUAAUUCGAUGCAACGCGAAGAACCUUACCUGGUCUUGACAUACACGGAAGUUUUCAGAGAUGAGAAUGUGCCUUCGGGAACCGUGAGACAGGUGCUGCAUGGCUGUCGUCAGCUCGUGUUGUGAAAUGUUGGGUUAAGUCCCGCAACGAGCGCAACCCUUAUCCUUUGUUGCCAGCGGUCCGGCCGGGAACUCAAAGGAGACUGCCAGUGAUAAACUG